Molecule: ribosomal RNA, 465 nt
Filed under: Vreelandella stevensii
Lineage: Bacteria; Pseudomonadati; Pseudomonadota; Gammaproteobacteria; Oceanospirillales; Halomonadaceae
Description: partial 16S ribosomal RNA
Rfam family: Bacterial small subunit ribosomal RNA
Source: RNAcentral
CCUACGGGUGGCAGCAGUGGGGAAUAUUGGACAAUGGGCGAAAGCCUGAUCCAGCCAUGCCGCGUGUGUGAAGAAGGCCUUCGGGUUGUAAAGCACUUUCAGUGGGGAAGAAAGCCUUGGGGCUAAUACCCUCGAGGAAGGACAUCACCCACAGAAGAAGCCCCGGCUAACUCCGUGCCAGCAGCCGCGGUAAUACGGAGGGUGCGAGCGUUAAUCGGAAUUACUGGGCGUAAAGCGCGCGUAGGCGGUCUGAUAAGCCGGUUGUGAAAGCCCCGGGCUCAACCUGGGAACGGCAUCCGGAACUGUCAGGCUAGAGUGCAGGAGAGGAAGGUAGAAUUCCCGGUGUAGCGGUGAAAUGCGUAGAGAUCGGGAGGAAUACCAGUGGCGAAGGCGGCCUUCUGGACUGACACUGACGCUGAGGUGCGAAAGCGUGGGUAGCAAACAGGAUUAGAUACCCUGGUAGUC